GACGAACGCUGGCGGCGUGCUUAACACAUGCAAGUCGAACGGAAAGGCCCUGCUUUUGUGGGGUGCUCGAGUGGCGAACGGGUGAGUAACACGUGAGUAACCUGCCCUUGACUUUGGGAUAACUUCAGGAAACUGGGGCUAAUACCGGAUAGGAGCUCCUGCUGCAUGGUGGGGGUUGGAAAGUUUCGGCGGUUGGGGAUGGACUCGCGGCUUAUCAGCUUGUUGGUGGGGUAGUGGCUUACCAAGGCUUUGACGGGUAGCCGGCCUGAGAGGGUGACCGGCCACAUUGGGACUGAGAUACGGCCCAGACUCCUACGGGAGGCAGCAGGGGGGAAUAUUGCACAAUGGGCGGAAGCCUGAUGCAGCAACGCCGCGUUCGGGAUGACGGCCUUCGGGUUGUAAACCGCUUUCGCCUGUGACGAAGCGUGUGUGACGGUAAUGGGUAAAGAAGCACCGGCUAACUACGUG
Molecule: ribosomal RNA, 468 nt
Filed under: uncultured bacterium
Lineage: Bacteria
Description: partial 16S ribosomal RNA
Rfam family: Bacterial small subunit ribosomal RNA
Source: RNAcentral